Long non-coding RNA from Bos indicus x Bos taurus (hybrid cattle), 1036 nucleotides. Lineage: Eukaryota; Metazoa; Chordata; Mammalia; Artiodactyla; Bovidae. The record is from Ensembl.
CCUGGGACCCUUUUCCACUUGGGAGUCCCCAGUGCCUUUUCCUGAUUUCAGAUCGUUUCCUCAUUCUGAUUUGUCAGGCAAUCUUCAUUACCUGGGCCUUUUCCUGAUCUCACCUCUUGGUUCAUGGGGCUGGCCACUUUUCUUCACCAAAACAAAAGUAACAAUGGAGAAUACUACUGUUGACCCUUGGGCAUCAGCAAGGAAGGCAAAAAGCCCUGGUGCAGCUGCUACUGCCCUGUACAGGCAUCAAGAGGGCUGUACCACUGGAGAGAAGCAGCAAGACUGACAUGGCUCCCGCUCAUCCACAGGUCCCCACUGUUCCUGGGCAUCCAGAACUCAGGGAAGACCAGCCAGAGGUACUGGACAGAUACAUAUGCGGAAUUGAUGUACCUGGAGUUUCCACCUUUGUCAUAGCAAAUUUCCAUAUACACAUGAGUCUGUUCCUGGCUUCUUUUUUCUAUCACUGCGGCAAUACCACAACGCAUUGCCUGCCGUAGCAUCACAGUAAGUCUUGAUUUCAAGCAGAGAAAAUCUUUACCCUUUCUUCUUCAAGAGAGUGUGAGUUAUCCUUGGGCCACUGCAUUCCCAUAUAAAUUCUAGAAUGAGUCUGUCAAAUUCCACCAGAAAUUCCCAACAUACCCUUGGAAUUUUCACUGAGAUUGAAUUGAAUUCAUAGAUCAAUUUCAGGAAAAUAUACAUUUUUACAGCAUCAAGUCUUCCUAUUCAUCAGUAUUGUAUACCCCACUCCAUUUCAGUUCAGUUCAGUCACUCAGUUGCAUCCGACUCUUUACGACCCCAUGAACCGCAGCACACCAGGCCUCCCUGUCCAUCACCAUUUAUUUAAGCAUUUAAUUUUUCUUAAAAAUGUUUAUAGCUUUUCCUAUGUAAAUCUUACAUGUCAUUUUUAGAUUUAGAACUAGAAAGUUUUUAUAUUUUUUGUUAUAUUUUUUUAAAUUUCAUAUUCUAAUUCUGCUGCUGAAAAAUAGAUAAGCAAACGAUUGUUUUUUGUUAGCAAUCUUGCUAAUUUUCCCUAAAA